CAAAUUCAUUGUAACGAAUAUUUUGCUUUGAAAAACAUAACUUGGGUUUUUGUCAUUAGUAUCUACAGAUUCGUUAAUCUACGUCAAGUAUUGUAAGUCCUACAUUAUGUUUGUAGUAUCAGAUUUAUAUCGAAUUCAUAAAUGAUAAUGCUAUUACUAAUACUGUUAUUAUAUAAAUCAGUGUUAUUUUUUUCGAAUAAAUCUGAAUACUCAGACCGAACAGCAAUGGAAUGAUAUAGAAUGAAAGUUCUACAGUAUGACAUAUAAUACUAACUUGUUAAAAUAAUAAGUUUCAAUUCAGUUAUUUGAUUUCUAAGUUCUUUGUGUUGUUUUACACUUUUUCAAUAUGUGCAUAACGUUAUUAAAAAAAAACCAACGUCUAUAUUAAAUUAUGUAAAUUUCUAUGUACAAAUUUAGUGAUUAUUUUGUCGUAGAAGCUUUGACAUACAGUAUCUUUUAAUGUACAUAAAUAAUGGUAUUGUAUCACUUGUUAUAUUUGGGAUAUGGUGGUAGUGCAUCAAUUGGUCUGUAGCAUUUAAUGUUUCAAAGGAAUUAUUAUGUGCACAGUUAUUCCUACAUUGUCCAAUAUUUCGGUACGUAGACGUGAAAUAUUUCAAAACUAUUGUUUUGUUUGCUUGUCAUUCAUAUCGGCUUCAUCUAUGAAACAGAUAUUCAAUAACCGUCAACCAACUCGUGAUGAAGUCCGUAGUAUAAUUUUUAAAGGGAUAAUUUCAACUUCACCAUUUGGAACUCUUGGUUUUAAUAGCUUCGGAUUCCAUAUGAGCAGCAGCUCUCUAUCAAGGGAUUCAUAAGAGAAAUCGUCCCCCUGAAUAUAGUGUCAUUUGGAAGAUAUAUACUCUAUAUGCGUUGCUAUGUUGUUACCUAAAAAUGGAAACUUCACAAUUGGGAAUCUGUUUUUCUGUUUUUCAAUCGACCCUAAUUAUUUCUAAGUUUUUAAGUUUCUAAGUUGUUUUAUAUAUUCAUUUGAUUGUAUGUGAUUGUAUUUUGUAUAUGUUAACCUCUUGUUUCACAUGGCAAUGUGACGGAGUGUUUUUAAAAUAAAGCAUAUUGUAUACACCUUAUCGAUGUUUGUCCGCCAUUGCUAGAUAUCACACAGAUUCCCGUAAAAUGUUGACGUCAUAAAACAAAAUAACUGACGCCACAAUGGAAAAGUGAUUGUUGUUGACGUCAACAUUUCAAGCGGCCGGGUCAGCCGGGAUUAGCAAUAAGGUGUAUAUAAACUCAUCAUAGAUACCAAUAUUGUAUUGUCUGUUUCUAGAAUUUAGUCAAGAUACGAAUCAGACUUAACUGUAUUUGUUAUAUCCUUUUUCUCAAGCUCGAAUGAAAAGAUGCUUUGAACAUAGUCACCCAAUUUUGAAUUAAUAUAUAUAAUACAAUGUUAUGUGAUAUAACAUCAUCUAUAUAGUAAAUGUUAUUUACUCCAUUAAAGAGUUCCGUAGUCAAUAAUGUCCCGUUAUCUAUUUA
RNAcentral lists this long non-coding RNA (1485 nucleotides) under Mytilus galloprovincialis (Mediterranean mussel). The record is from RNAcentral. Lineage: Eukaryota; Metazoa; Mollusca; Bivalvia; Mytilida; Mytilidae.